RNAcentral lists this ribosomal RNA (517 nucleotides) under Lysobacterales bacterium. Its description in RNAcentral is "bacterial SSU rRNA". It matches the Rfam family "Bacterial small subunit ribosomal RNA", at positions 1 to 507 of the family's 1533-position model. The record is from RNAcentral. Lineage: Bacteria; Pseudomonadati; Pseudomonadota; Gammaproteobacteria; Lysobacterales.
UAAGUGAAGAGUUUGAUCCUGGCUCAGAGUGAACGCUGGCGGCAGGCCUAACACAUGCAAGUCGAGCGGCAGCGGGAGGAAGCUUGCUUCCUUGCCGGCGAGCGGCGGACGGGUGAGUAAUGCAUCGGAAUCUGCCCUGACGUGGGGGAUAACGUAGGGAAACUUACGCUAAUACCGCAUACGUCCUAUGGGAGAAAGCGGGGGAUCGCAAGACCUCGCGCGGCAGGAUGAGCCGAUGUUCGAUUAGCUAGUUGGAGGGGUAAAGGCCCACCAAGGCGACGAUCGAUAGCCGGUCUGAGAGGAUGAUCGGCCACACUGGGACUGAGACACGGCCCAGACUCCUACGGGAGGCAGCAGUGGGGAAUAUUGGACAAUGGGGGCAACCCUGAUCCAGCCAUGCCGCGUGUGUGAAGAAGGCCUUCGGGUUGUAAAGCACUUUUGUACGGGAAGAAACGCACUCGGUUAAUACCCGGGUGAACUGACGGUACCGUAAGAAUAAGCACCGGCUAACUUCGUG